CAACUUUCAGCAAUGGAUCUCUUGGCUCUCGCAUCGAUGAAGAACGCAGCGAAUCGCGAUAAGUAAUGUGAAUUGCAGAUUUCCAGUGAAUCAUCGAAUCUUUGAACGCACUUUGCGCUCCUUGGUACUCCGAGGAGCAUGCCUGUUUGAGUGUCAUUU
This 159-nucleotide ribosomal RNA is filed under the name Tylopilus porphyrosporus. RNAcentral's name for it is "5.8S ribosomal RNA". It matches the Rfam family "5.8S ribosomal RNA". Rfam says of the family: 5.8S ribosomal RNA (5.8S rRNA) is a component of the large subunit of the eukaryotic ribosome. It is transcribed by RNA polymerase I as part of the 45S precursor that also contains 18S and 28S rRNA. The record is from RNAcentral. Lineage: Eukaryota; Fungi; Basidiomycota; Agaricomycetes; Boletales; Boletaceae. RNAcentral also lists the same sequence under 1 other name.